CAAUAGCGUAUAUUUAAGUUGCUGCAGUUAAAAAGCUCGUAGUUGGAUUUCGGGUGGGAAUGGCCGGUCCGCCGUUUCGGUGUGCACUUGCUACGCCCACCUUGCUGCCGGGGACGUGCUUUUGAGUUCACGCUCGGGACACGGAGUCGGCGAGGUUACUUUGAGUAAAUUAGAGUGUUCAAAGCAGGCCUACGCUCUGAAUACAUUAGCAUGGAAUAACACGAUAGGACUCUGGCCUAUCUUGUUGGUCUGUAGGACCGGAGUAAUGAUUAAGAGGGACAGUCGGGGGCAUUCGUAUUUCAUUGUCAGAGGUGAAAUUCUUGGAUUUAUGAAAGACGAACUACUGCGAAAGCAUUUGCCAAGGAUGUUUUCAUUGA
This 377-nucleotide ribosomal RNA is filed under the name uncultured eukaryote. RNAcentral's name for it is "partial 18S ribosomal RNA". It matches the Rfam family "Eukaryotic small subunit ribosomal RNA", at positions 592 to 976 of the family's 1831-position model. The record is from RNAcentral.